UUACUGUUAAGAGUUGUCCCCCCGCCCCCCCCAGAAGAACAGGGUUAAAUAAGUUACUCAGUUACACAGCACAUGCUUGCAUAUAACUGGGGCACACAGCUUCUAGCUUGUGUCUCCUUUAACUGCGAGAUACAUGG
Myotis myotis is the source of this 137-nucleotide small nucleolar RNA. NCBI's taxonomy places the organism in Eukaryota, Metazoa, Chordata, Mammalia, Chiroptera, Vespertilionidae. The record is from RefSeq and is a predicted model, not a curated record.